Molecule: small RNA, 54 nt
Filed under: Staphylococcus aureus
Lineage: Bacteria; Bacillati; Bacillota; Bacilli; Caryophanales; Staphylococcaceae
Description: HMPRNC0000_0437
Source: RNAcentral
GGAAAAGGGGUAAGGUGUUCUAAGUUUGCGUUUUAAUUCAUCAAUAAGGCAAUU